CGACAGGCUUAACACAUGCAAGUCGAGGGGCAGCACAGGUAGCAAUACCGGGUGGCGACCGGCGCACGGGUGAGUAACGCGUAUGCAACUUGCCUAUCAGAGGGGGAUAACCCGGCGAAAGUCGGACUAAUACCGCAUGAAGCAGGGAUCCCGCAUGGGAAUAUUUGCUAAAGAUUCAUCGCUGAUAGAUAGGCAUGCGUUCCAUUAGGCAGUUGGCGGGGUAACGGCCCACCAAACCGACGAUGGAUAGGGGUUCUGAGAGGAAGGUCCCCCACAUUGGUACUGAGACACGGACCAAACUCCUACGGGAGGCAGCAGUGAGGAAUAUUGGUCAAUGGCCGAGAGGCUGAACCAGCCAAGUCGCGUGAGGGAUGAAGGUUCUAUGGAUCGUAAACCUCUUUUAUAAGGGAAUAAAGUGCGGGACGUGUCCCGUUUUGUAUGUACCUUAUGAAUAAGGAUCGGCCGACUCCGUGCCAGCAGCCGCGGUAAUACGGAGGAUCCGAGCGUUAUCCGGAUUUAUUGGGUUUAAAGGGUGCGUAGGCGGCCUUUUAAGUCAGCGGUGAAAGUCUGUGGCUCAACCAUAGAAUUGCCGUUGAAACUGGGGGGCUUGAGUAUGUUUGAGGCAGGCGGAAUGCGUGGUGUAGCGGUGAAAUGCAUAGAUAUCACGCAGAACCCCGAUUGCGAAGGCAGCCUGCCAAGCCAUUACUGACGCUGAUGCACGAAAGCGUGGGGAUCAAACAGGAUUAGAUACCCUGGUAGUCCACGCAGUAAACGAUGAUCACUAGCUGUUUGCGAUACACUGUAAGCGGCACAGCGAAAGCGUUAAGUGAUCCACCUGGGGAGUACGCCGGCAACGGUGAAACUCAAAGGAAUUGACGGGGGCCCGCACAAGCGGAGGAACAUGUGGUUUAAUUCGAUGAUACGCGAGGAACCUUACCCGGGUUUGAACGCAUUCGGACCGAGGUGGAAACACCUUUUCUAGCAAUAGCCGUUUGCGAGGUGCCGCAUGGUUGUCGUCAGCUCGUGCCGUGAGGUGUCGGCUUAAGUGCCAUAACGAGCGCAACCCUUGCCACUAGUUACUAACAGGUUAGGCUGAGGACUCUGGUGGGACUGCCAGCGUAAGCUGCGAGGAAGGCGGGGAUGACGUCAAAUCAGCACGGCCCUUACAUCCGGGGCGACACACGUGUUACAAUGGCGUGGACAAAGGGAUGCCACCUGGCGACAGGGAGCGAAUCCCCAAACCACGUCUCAGUUCGGAUCGGAGUCUGCAACCCGACUCCGUGAAGCUGGAUUCGCUAGUAAUCGCGCAUCAGCCAUGGCGCGGUGAAUACGUUCCCGGGCCUUGUACACACCGCCCGUCAAGCCAUGGGAGCCGGGGGUACCUGAAGUCCGUAACCGAAAGGAUCGGCCUAGGGUAAAACUGGUGACUGGGG
Molecule: ribosomal RNA, 1433 nt
Filed under: uncultured organism
Description: 16S ribosomal RNA
Rfam family: Bacterial small subunit ribosomal RNA
Source: RNAcentral